UACGAGUGCCCCGAGCGUUAUCCGGAAUCACUGGGUGUAAAGGGUGCGUAGGUGGCGGUAUUAGUCUUUCGUGAAAGCCCCGAGCUCAACUUGGGAAACGCGAAGGAAACGGUACUGCUAGAGAGUGUGAGGGGUCUAGGGAACUCAUGGUGUAGGGGUGAAAUCCGUUGAUAUCAUGGGGAACACCAAAAGCGAAGGCACUAGACUGGCACAUUUCUGACACUCAAGCACGAAAGCGUGGGUAGCGAAUGGG
This 253-nucleotide ribosomal RNA is filed under the name uncultured bacterium. RNAcentral describes it as "partial 16S ribosomal RNA". It matches the Rfam family "Bacterial small subunit ribosomal RNA", at positions 524 to 776 of the family's 1533-position model. The record is from RNAcentral.